CUGACGAACCAUGAUGUUCAUUUAUUUGGUGUUGUGGGGAAUCAGGACUGUUACUUUGAAAAAAUUAGAGUCGUUUAAAGCAGGCUCACGCUUGAAUACAUUAGCAUGGAAUAAUGAAAUAGGACGUUUGAUUCUAUUUUGUUGGUUUCUAGGAUCGACGUAAUGAUUAAUAGGGAUAGUUGGGGGCAUUAGUAUUCAAUUGUCAGAGGUGAAAUUCUUGGAUUUAUUGAAGACUAACUACUGCGAAAGCAUUUGCCAAGGAUGUUUUCAUUAAUCAAGAACGAAAGUUAGGGGAUCGAAGACGAUCAGAUACCGUCGUAGUCUUAACCAUAAACUAUGCCGACUAGGGAUCGGAUGAUGUUAAUUUUUUAAUGACUCAUUCGGCGCCUUACG
Molecule: ribosomal RNA, 393 nt
Filed under: uncultured Glomeromycotina
Lineage: Eukaryota; Fungi; Glomeromycota
Description: SSU rRNA
Rfam family: Eukaryotic small subunit ribosomal RNA
Source: RNAcentral